GACGAACGCUGGCGGCGUGCUUAACACAUGCAAGUCGAACGGAAAGGCCGUGCUUUUGUGGGGUGCUCGAGUGGCGAACGGGUGAGUAACACGUGAGUAACCUGCCCUAGACUUUGGGAUAACUUAAGGAAACUGGGGCUAAUACCGGAUAGGAGAUCCUGCUGCAUGGUGGGGGUUGGAAAGUUUCGGCGGUUGGGGAUGGACUCGCGGCUUAUGAGCUUGUUGGUCGGGUAGUGGCAUACCAACGCUGUGGAGGGUAGCCGGCCUGAGAGGGUGACCGGGCACCAGGGGACUGAGGGACGGACCAGAGUGCUACGGGGGGCAGCGGGGGGAAACAUUGCACAAUGGGCGGAAGCCUGAUGCAGCAGCGCCGCGGUUGGGAUGACGUCCUGCUGGUAGUAAAACGCUUUCGGCUGUUACGAAGCGUUAGUGACGGUAACGAGUAAAGAAGCACCGGCUAACUACGUG
Molecule: ribosomal RNA, 468 nt
Filed under: uncultured bacterium
Lineage: Bacteria
Description: partial 16S ribosomal RNA
Rfam family: Bacterial small subunit ribosomal RNA
Source: RNAcentral